This 467-nucleotide ribosomal RNA is filed under the name Phyllosticta capitalensis. RNAcentral's name for it is "partial large subunit ribosomal RNA". It matches the Rfam family "Eukaryotic large subunit ribosomal RNA", at positions 113 to 584 of the family's 3401-position model. Lineage: Eukaryota; Fungi; Ascomycota; Dothideomycetes; Botryosphaeriales; Phyllostictaceae. The record is from RNAcentral.
AUUUGAAAGCUGGCGUCUUCGACGUCCGCGUUGUAAUUUGUAGAGGAUGCUUCGGCGAAGACUCCUGCCUAAGUCCCCUGGAACGGGGCGUCAUAGAGGGUGAGAAUCCCGUAUGUGGCGGGCAGUCUAAGCCAUGUGAAGCUCCUUCGACGAGUCGAGUUGUUUGGGAAUGCAGCUCUAAAUGGGAGGUAAAUUUCUUCUAAAGCUAAAUAUUGGCCAGAGACCGAUAGCGCACAAGUAGAGUGAUCGAAAGAUGAAAAGCACUUUGGAAAGAGAGUUAAAAAGUACGUGAAAUUGUUGAAAGGGAAGCGCUUGCAACCAGACUCGCUCGUAGUUGCUCAGCCGGCCUCUUGGCCGGUGUACUCUUCUACGAUCGGGCCAGCAUCAGUUCGGGCGGCAGGAUAAAGGUGUCGGGAAUGUAGCACCCUUCGGGGUGUGUUAUAGCCCGGCGCGGAAUGCUGCCAGCC